AGAACGAACGCUGGCGGCAGGCUUAACACAUGCAAGUCGAACGGUUGUAGCAAUACAGCAGUGGCAGACGGGUGAAUAACACGUGGGAACCUUCCUCGUAGUACGGAACAACUCAGGGAAACUUGAGCUAAUACCGUAUACGUCCGAGAGGAGAAAGAUUUAUCGCUAUGAGACGGGCCCGCGUCCGAUUAGCUAGUUGGUGGGGUAACGGCCUACCAAGGCAACGAUCGGUAGCUGAUCUGAGAGGAUGAUCAGCCACACUGGGACUGAGACACGGCCCAGACUCCUACGGGAGGCAGCAGUGGGAAUCUUGGACAAUGGGCGCAAGCCUGAUCCAGCCAUGCCGCGUGAGUGAAGAAGGCCUUAGGUGUAAAGCUCUUUUACCAGGGACGAUAAUGACGGUACCUGGAGAAUAAGCCCGGCAAACUUCGUGCCAGCAGCCGC
RNAcentral lists this ribosomal RNA (444 nucleotides) under uncultured bacterium. RNAcentral describes it as "SSU rRNA". It matches the Rfam family "Bacterial small subunit ribosomal RNA", at positions 26 to 518 of the family's 1533-position model. The record is from RNAcentral.